GAUGAACGCUGGCGGCGUGCCUAAUACAUGCAAGUCGAGCGAACGGACGAGAAGCUUGCUUUUCUGAUGUUAGCGGCGGACGGGUGAGUAACACGUGGAUAACCUACCUAUAAGACUGGGAUAACUUCGGGAAACCGGAGCUAAUACCGGAUAAUAUUUUGAACCGCAUGGUUCAAAAGUGAAAGACGGUCUUGCUGUCACUUAUAGAUGGAUCCGCGCUGCAUUAGCUAGUUGGUAAGGUAACGGCUUACCAAGGCAACGAUGCAUAGCCGACCUGAGAGGGUGAUCGGCCACACUGGAACUGAGACACGGUCCAGACUCCUACGGGAGGCAGCAGUAGGGAGUCUUCCGCAAUGGGCGAAAGCCUGACGGAGCAACGCCGCGUGAGUGAUGAAGGUCUUCGGAUCGUAAAACUCUGUUAUUAGGGAAGAACAUAUGUGUAAGUAACUGUGCACAUCUUGACGGUACCUAAUCAGAAAGCCACGGCUAACUACGUG
RNAcentral lists this ribosomal RNA (497 nucleotides) under uncultured bacterium. RNAcentral describes it as "partial 16S ribosomal RNA". It matches the Rfam family "Bacterial small subunit ribosomal RNA", at positions 28 to 507 of the family's 1533-position model. The record is from RNAcentral.